RNAcentral lists this ribosomal RNA (530 nucleotides) under uncultured bacterium. Its description in RNAcentral is "partial 16S ribosomal RNA". It matches the Rfam family "Bacterial small subunit ribosomal RNA", at positions 28 to 523 of the family's 1533-position model. The record is from RNAcentral.
GACGAACGCUGGCGGCGUGCCUAAUACAUGCAAGUCGAACGAACUCUGGUAUUGAUUGGUGCUUGCAUCAUGAUUUACAUUUGAGCGAGUGGCGAACUGGUGAGUAACACGUGGGAAACCUGCCCAGAAGCGGGGGAUAACACCUGGAAACAGAUGCUAAUACCGCAUAACAACUUGGACCGCAUGGUCCGAGCUUGAAAGAUGGCUUCGGCUAUCACUUUUGGAUGGUCCCGCGGCGUAUUAGCUAGAUGGUGGGGUAACGGCUCACCAUGGGAAUGGUACGUAGCCGACCUGAGAGGGUAAUCGGCCACAUUGGGACUGAGACACGGCCCAAACUCCUACGGGAGGCAGCAGUAGGGAAUCUUCCACAAUGGACGAAAGUCUGAUGGAGCAACGCCGCGUGAGUGAAGAAGGGUUUCGGCUCGUAAAACUCUGUUGUUAAAGAAGAACAUAUCUGAGAGUAACUGUUCAGGUAUUGACGGUAUUUAACCAGAAAGCCACGGCUAACUACGUGCCAGCCGCCGCAGUAA